This 29-nucleotide ribosomal RNA is filed under the name Limnoperdon incarnatum. RNAcentral describes it as "partial 28S large subunit ribosomal RNA". Lineage: Eukaryota; Fungi; Basidiomycota; Agaricomycetes; Agaricales; Limnoperdaceae. The record is from RNAcentral.
AAUUUGACCUCAAAUCAGGUAGGACUACC